CACUAGAAGAAAAUGCUGACGCUGUUCACCAGCAGCUGGAGGAGGUAGAAACUUUAUGCACUCAGCUUCAAACUUAUAACAGGAAGCUAAAGGCUAAGCUAGCUGACCUGGAGGGGAGAAGCAGACGCUGCAACAUUCUGCCCAUCCCC
Long non-coding RNA from Melanotaenia boesemani (Boeseman's rainbowfish), 149 nucleotides. RefSeq lists it as uncharacterized. NCBI's taxonomy places the organism in Eukaryota, Metazoa, Chordata, Actinopteri, Atheriniformes, Melanotaeniidae. The record is from RefSeq and is a predicted model, not a curated record. The transcript has 3 exons.